Molecule: ribosomal RNA, 2427 nt
Filed under: human gut metagenome
Description: bacterial LSU rRNA
Rfam family: Bacterial large subunit ribosomal RNA
Source: RNAcentral
GAGUAGGGCGGGACACGUGGUAUCCUGUCUGAAUAUGGGGGGACCAUCCUCCAAGGCUAAAUACUCCUGACUGACCGAUAGUGAACCAGUACCGUGAGGGAAAGGCGAAAAGAACCCCGGCGAGGGGAGUGAAAAAGAACCUGAAACCGUGUACGUACAAGCAGUGGGAGCCUCUUAAUGGGGUGACUGCGUACCUUUUGUAUAAUGGGUCAGCGACUUAUAUUCUGUAGCAAGGUUAACCGAAUAGGGGAGCCGAAGGGAAACCGAGUCUUAACUGGGCGUUAAGUUGCAGGGUAUAGACCCGAAACCCGGUGAUCUAGCCAUGGGCAGGUUGAAGGUUGGGUAACACUAACUGGAGGACCGAACCGACUAAUGUUGAAAAAUUAGCGGAUGACUUGUGGCUGGGGGUGAAAGGCCAAUCAAACCGGGAGAUAGCUGGUUCUCCCCGAAAGCUAUUUAGGUAGCGCCUCGUGAAUUCAUCUCCGGGGGUAGAGCACUGUUUCGGCAAGGGGGUCAUCCCGACUUACCAACCCGAUGCAAACUGCGAAUACCGGAGAAUGUUAUCACGGGAGACACACGGCGGGUGCUAACGUCCGUCGUGAAGAGGGAAACAACCCAGACCGCCAGCUAAGGUCCCAAAGUCAUGGUUAAGUGGGAAACGAUGUGGGAAGGCCCAGACAGCCAGGAUGUUGGCUUAGAAGCAGCCAUCAUUUAAAGAAAGCGUAAUAGCUCACUGGUCGAGUCGGCCUGCGCGGAAGAUGUAACGGGGCUAAACCAUGCACCGAAGCUGCGGCAGCGACACUAUGUGUUGUUGGGUAGGGGAGCGUUCUGUAAGCCUGUGAAGGUGGCCUGUGAGGGUUGCUGGAGGUAUCAGAAGUGCGAAUGCUGACAUAAGUAACGAUAAAGCGGGUGAAAAGCCCGCUCGCCGGAAGACCAAGGGUUCCUGUCCAACGUUAAUCGGGGCAGGGUGAGUCGACCCCUAAGGCGAGGCCGAAAGGCGUAGUCGAUGGGAAACAGGUUAAUAUUCCUGUACUUGGUGUUACUGCGAAGGGGGGACGGAGAAGGCUAUGUUGGCCGGGCGACGGUUGUCCCGGUUUAAGCGUGUAGGCUGGUUUUCCAGGCAAAUCCGGAAAACCAAGGCUGAGGCGUGAUGACGAGGCACUACGGUGCUGAAGUGACAAAUGCCCUGCUUCCAGGAAAAGCCUCUAAGCAUCAGGUAACAUCAAAUCGUACCCCAAACCGACACAGGUGGUCAGGUAGAGAAUACCAAGGCGCUUGAGAGAACUCGGGUGAAGGAACUAGGCAAAAUGGUGCCGUAACUUCGGGAGAAGGCACGCUGAUAUGUAGGUGAAGCGACUUGCUCGUGGAGCUGAAAUCAGUCGAAGAUACCAGCUGGCUGCAACUGUUUAUUAAAAACACAGCACUGUGCAAACACGAAAGUGGACGUAUACGGUGUGACGCCUGCCCGGUGCCGGAAGGUUAAUUGAUGGGGUUAGCGGUAACGCGAAGCUCUUGAUCGAAGCCCCGGUAAACGGCGGCCGUAACUAUAACGGUCCUAAGGUAGCGAAAUUCCUUGUCGGGUAAGUUCCGACCUGCACGAAUGGCGUAAUGAUGGCCAGGCUGUCUCCACCCGAGACUCAGUGAAAUUGAACUCGCUGUGAAGAUGCAGUGUACCCGCGGCAAGACGGAAAGACCCCGUGAACCUUUACUAUAGCUUGACACUGAACAUUGAGCCUUGAUGUGUAGGAUAGGUGGGAGGCUUUGAAGUGUGGACGCCAGUCUGCAUGGAGCCGACCUUGAAAUACCACCCUUUAAUGUUUGAUGUUCUAACGUUGGCCCCUAAUCGGGGUUGCGGACAGUGUCUGGUGGGUAGUUUGACUGGGGCGGUCUCCUCCUAAAGAGUAACGGAGGAGCACGAAGGUUGGCUAAUCCUGGUCGGACAUCAGGAGGUUAGUGCAAUGGCAUAAGCCAGCUUGACUGCGAGCGUGACGGCGCGAGCAGGUGCGAAAGCAGGUCAUAGUGAUCCGGUGGUUCUGAAUGGAAGGGCCAUCGCUCAACGGAUAAAAGGUACUCCGGGGAUAACAGGCUGAUACCGCCCAAGAGUUCAUAUCGACGGCGGUGUUUGGCACCUCGAUGUCGGCUCAUCACAUCCUGGGGCUGAAGUAGGUCCCAAGGGUAUGGCUGUUCGCCAUUUAAAGUGGUACGCGAGCUGGGUUUAGAACGUCGUGAGACAGUUCGGUCCCUAUCUGCCGUGGGCGCUGGAGAACUGAGGGGGGCUGCUCCUAGUACGAGAGGACCGGAGUGGACGCAUCACUGGUGUUCGGGUUGUCAUGCCAAUGGCACUGCCCGGUAGCUAAAUGCGGAAGAGAUAAGUGCUGAAAGCAUCUAAGCACGAAACUUGCCCCGAGAUGAGUUCUCCCUGAGACU